This 576-nucleotide ribosomal RNA is filed under the name Enterobacter cloacae. Its description in RNAcentral is "bacterial LSU rRNA". It matches the Rfam family "Bacterial large subunit ribosomal RNA", at positions 1092 to 1666 of the family's 2925-position model. Lineage: Bacteria; Pseudomonadati; Pseudomonadota; Gammaproteobacteria; Enterobacterales; Enterobacteriaceae. The record is from RNAcentral.
GCCAGGAUGUUGGCUUAGAAGCAGCCAUCAUUUAAAGAAAGCGUAAUAGCUCACUGGUCGAGUCGGCCUGCGCGGAAGAUGUAACGGGGCUAAACCAUGCACCGAAGCUGCGGCAGCGACGCUUAUGCGUUGUUGGGUAGGGGAGCGUUCUGUAAGCCGUUGAAGGUGGCCUGUGAGGGUUGCUGGAGGUAUCAGAAGUGCGAAUGCUGACAUAAGUAACGAUAAAGCGGGUGAAAAGCCCGCUCGCCGGAAGACCAAGGGUUCCUGUCCAACGUUAAUCGGGGCAGGGUGAGUCGACCCCUAAGGCGAGGCCGAAAGGCGUAGUCGAUGGGAAACAGGUUAAUAUUCCUGUACUUGGUGUUACUGCGAAGGGGGGACGGAGAAGGCUAUGUUAGCCGGGCGACGGUUGUCCCGGUUUAAGCAUGUAGGCGGAGGUUCCAGGUAAAUCCGGUACCUUUUUAACGCUGAGGUGUGAUGACGAGGCACUACGGUGCUGAAGUAACAAAUGCCCUGCUUCCAGGAAAAGCCUCUAAGCAUCAGGUAACAUCAAAUCGUACCCCAAACCGACACAGGUGG